This 484-nucleotide ribosomal RNA is filed under the name uncultured bacterium. RNAcentral's name for it is "bacterial SSU rRNA". It matches the Rfam family "Bacterial small subunit ribosomal RNA", at positions 28 to 507 of the family's 1533-position model. The record is from RNAcentral.
GAUGAACGCUGGCGGCGUGCCUAACACAUGCAAGUCGAACGGAGUUACUUUGGUGAAGUUUUCGGACGGAUCUGAUUUAGCUUAGUGGCGGACGGGUGAGUAAUGCGUGAGCAACCUGCCCUUCAGAGGGGGACAACAGUUGGAAACGACUGCUAAUACCGCAUAAUGUAUUCUGACCGCAUGAUCGGAAUACCAAAGAUUUAUUGCUGAAAGAUGGCCUCGCGUCUGAUUAGAUAGUUGGUGAGGUAACGGCUCACCAAGUCGACGAUCAGUAGCCGGACUGAGAGGUUGAACGGCCACAUUGGGACUGAGAUACGGCCCAAACUCCUACGGGAGGCAGCAGUGGGGAAUAUUGCACAAUGGGGGGAAACCCUGAUGCAGCGACGCCGCGUGAGCGAAGAAGUAUUUCGGUAUGUAAAGCUCUAUCAGCAGGGAAGAAAAAAAAUGACGGUACCUGACUAAGAAGCCCCGGCUAACUAACGUG